CCUACGGGAGGCAGCAGUGAGGAAUAUUGGUCAAUGGUCGGGAGACUGAACCAGCCAAGCCGCGUGAGGGAUGAAGGUACAGAGUAUCGUAAACCUCUUUUGUCAGGGAACAAAGGCGGGGACGCGUCCCCGGAUGAGUGUACCUGAAGAAAAAGCAUCGGCUAACUCCGUGCCAGCAGCCGCGGUAAUACGGAGGAGGCGAGUGUUAUCCGGAUUUAUUGGGUUUAAAGGGGGCGCAGGGGGUCUGUUAAGUCAGCGGUAAAAGCCCGGGGCCCAACCCCGGCCCGCCGUUGAAACUGGCAGUCUCGAGUUGGAGAGAAGUAUGCGGAAUGCGCGGUGUAGCGGUGAAAUGCAUAGAUAUCGCGCAGAACUCCGAUUGCGAAGGCAGCAUGCCGGCUCCACACUGACGCUGAGGCACGAAAGCGUGGGUAUCGAACAGGAUUAGAUACCCUAGUAGUC
This 459-nucleotide ribosomal RNA is filed under the name uncultured bacterium. Its description in RNAcentral is "partial 16S ribosomal RNA". It matches the Rfam family "Bacterial small subunit ribosomal RNA", at positions 338 to 795 of the family's 1533-position model. The record is from RNAcentral.